UCACAAUAAAUUGAAAUUGGGGCGGUGCUGGAGAAGAAGAAGAAGAAAGCUUGAGAAUCAUGGCGGAGCAUUUGGCUUCUAUAUUCGGUACAGAGAAAGACAGGGUGAAUUGCCCUUUCUACUUUAAGAUCGGAGCGUGUCGGCAUGGUGACCGCUGUUCCAGGCUUCACACAAAGCCUAGCAUCAGUCCCACGUUGGUUCUCUCUAACAUGUACCAGCGUCCUGAUAUGAUCACCCCUGGUGUUGACCCUCAAGGCCAGCCCCUUGACCCUCGCCAGAUCCAGCGUCA
RNAcentral lists this unclassified non-coding RNA (289 nucleotides) under Hevea brasiliensis (rubber tree). Lineage: Eukaryota; Viridiplantae; Streptophyta; Magnoliopsida; Malpighiales; Euphorbiaceae. The record is from RNAcentral.